CCCCUCGCUCCUCCCCACCGCGAUAACUCCGCCCCCGCCUCCUCGCUCCUCCCCCGCUGCCAUAGCCCGCCGCCUCCUCGCUCCUCCUCGCCGCCCGCCCCACGAAUCCCCGCGCCUCCUAGCUUCUCCUCCGCGCCCGCGAAUCCCCGCCGCCUCCUCGCUCCGCGCGCAUCCUCCCUCCUCGCGACGGGGCAGCGAGGUCGUCCCCUUCCGCUGCCACCCCCGCUGCCCACGCCGGAGACGAGGUCGUCCCCAGCCACCGCCGGAGCCGUGGUCUUCCCCGGAGCCGACGUCGUCCCCAGUUGCCGCCGGAGCCGAGUUCUUCCCCAUCCGCAUUGGAUCUGAAUGCACCACAUAUCUUCCCCUCUGGAAAUUAUUAUUUUUGGAUGAAAUUGACGGAAUACCAAUGGCUAUUGCAACAAGACGUGAGGACUGGCAAGCCAUCUCUUCAUAUAUUUCUUGCUGAUAUGAGAACGUUCGAGGUAUUGCCAUAUAAUUGAUUUGUAUUUCAAGCUCCUCCUGCUGUAGCAGCAGUAAAAAAAAUGCUCGAAUGUGAUUGGGCGACACAUGUACAUAUGCUUUUAAGGUAUGCGGGAUUAUCAGAGUUCUGUUGUUGCUUCAUGUCACAAAGGAGAGGACCAUUUUAUUGGUACCAUUUAUCCAUAUCAUGAUGGCCAUGUCCCUUCAGCGACAUCUGGAAACCUAGGAUCUCACCUACAAAAAUAGGAAUCCAGGAGUUGGAGCCAUUCGAACAUGCAGCAUGUCUCUUGCUAAUGUCUUCCUGAGCUUUCAAAUCAUAAGGCCCUUGCCUCACUGAUCAAAAUAUUCAGGUCACUAGAGGUUCUAAUUUGCUUGCAAUCCUUAUGGUUUCCACUCAUCACAGUGAUAAGGCACCAUAUUCUUAUGGCCAGUGCUUCUAUGUUCUGAGCUUACUGGUAUCCAUAUUUUUAAGCACUCUAUUUCUUUGCUCUGGUUUCUUUUUUUGCAACCAGUUUCUGAUGGAACAUUUCUUAUGGCUAGAAAUUGUCACGUAAUCUUCAAUGCGCUCUAGAAAUUUCAGAUUGAGCUAUUUGAAUUUUGCUAUGUUAAUUUGAAUAAUACAGUAUUCCAAAGCGGCAGUGGAUCAUUAUAACCAACUACCACAAACUAUUCAAUUGCAGAAUUUCUGCAUUCCAAUUUUUGCAUUUCUCAAUUUAAUCAUGUAUUUUGGUUUGAGUAAUUGCAAAGUAAAAUUGAUUUUGUAAUUGUAAAAAUGAAUGAAUUUUCUGGACAACAUUUAAUGUGAUUUUAUCAAAACACAAUGAACCUUUUAAUUUGUCCGUAUAGUUCUGUUUUCUUUUAUUUUCAAAAGUAAGAUCCUCAGUAUAAGCUUUUGUUUGUGGAUCUCUUAAUAAUGAAUAUUGGGGGUCCAAUCCUCUCUUGCUCCACCGUUGGACCAGUAGUAGCAGCAGGUUGGAAGCUGGUGAACACGAUCUCAGGGAAGGACACAAUGGCGGCUUCGUACGAUCUCACAUAUGACAAUUCUAUCAUUGCCUUAGAUUUUACCAACCAAAGAUGCAAGGGGUACUCAUUCUUUUGAUUUUGUCCAGAUGGACAGCUCCAGUCCAUAACAUUCUAUCUACACAGUCAACGACUCAGUUAAUAAUAAAACUGAAAAAAUGUUCUCUUUUAUUUUUAAAUAAGAUUUUCACACAACCUGAAAGUAAGAUAUCAAAGGAGCACUGGCCUGAUAUAAAUGAUUUUUUUCUGACGAAUGUGGACUACCAAUGUAAUGCACAUGCCUAAGAUAUUUAAGGUUUUCUUUUUUCUGCAGUACUUAAAGACUUGUAUUUUGUAAUAUUGUAGGUUAAAUCUCAACUUCUGAUGUAUCUCAAGUGUAAAUAUGGUCAUUGUCAUAUUGCUAAUAUUUUGGAUUUAAUCAAAUAAAUGAUGACCAUUGCUGCCC
Molecule: non-coding RNA, 1945 nt
Organism: Oryza sativa Japonica Group (Japanese rice)
Lineage: Eukaryota; Viridiplantae; Streptophyta; Magnoliopsida; Poales; Poaceae
Source: RefSeq, a predicted model, not a curated record